GAUGAACGCUGGCGGCGUGCCUAAUACAUGCAAGUCGAGCGAACGGACGAGAAGCUUGCUUCUCUGAUGUUAGCGGCGGACGGGUGAGUAACACGUGGAUAACCUACCUAUAAGACUGGGAUAACUUCGGGAAACCGGAGCUAAUAUCGGAUAAUAUUUUGAACCGCAUGGUUCAAAAGUGAAAGACGGUCUUGCUGUCACUUAUAGAUGGAUCCGCGCUGCAUUAGCUAGUUGGUAAGGUAACGGCUUACCAAGGCAACGAUGCAUAGCCGACCUGAGAGGGUAGUGGACCACGCUGGAGCUGAGGCACGGUCCAAACGCCUACGGGAGGCAGCAGUGGGGAAUCUUCCGCAAUGGGCGAAGGCCUGGCGGAGCAACGGCGCGUGAGUGAUGAAGGACUUCGGAUCGUAAAACUCUGUUAUUAGGAGAGAACAUAUGUGUAAGUAACUGUGCACAUCUUGACGGUACCUGAUCAGAAAGCCACGGCUAACUACGUG
This 497-nucleotide ribosomal RNA is filed under the name uncultured bacterium. Its description in RNAcentral is "partial 16S ribosomal RNA". It matches the Rfam family "Bacterial small subunit ribosomal RNA", at positions 28 to 507 of the family's 1533-position model. The record is from RNAcentral.